This 2903-nucleotide ribosomal RNA is filed under the name Escherichia coli. Its description in RNAcentral is "bacterial LSU rRNA". It matches the Rfam family "Bacterial large subunit ribosomal RNA". Lineage: Bacteria; Pseudomonadati; Pseudomonadota; Gammaproteobacteria; Enterobacterales; Enterobacteriaceae. The record is from RNAcentral.
UUAAGCGACUAAGCGUACACGGUGGAUGCCCUGGCAGUCAGAGGCGAUGAAGGACGUGCUAAUCUGCGAUAAGCGUCGGUAAGGUGAUAUGAACCGUUAUAACCGGCGAUUUCCGAAUGGGGAAACCCAGUGUGUUUCGACACACUAUCAUUAACUGAAUCCAUAGGUUAAUGAGGCGAACCGGGGGAACUGAAACAUCUAAGUACCCCGAGGAAAAGAAAUCAACCGAGAUUCCCCCAGUAGCGGCGAGCGAACGGGGAGGAGCCCAGAGCCUGAAUCAGUGUGUGUGUUAGUGGAAGCGUCUGGAAAGGCGCGCGAUACAGGGUGACAGCCCCGUACACAAAAAUGCACAUGCUGUGAGCUCGAUGAGUAGGGCGGGACACGUGGUAUCCUGUCUGAAUAUGGGGGGACCAUCCUCCAAGGCUAAAUACUCCUGACUGACCGAUAGUGAACCAGUACCGUGAGGGAAAGGCGAAAAGAACCCCGGCGAGGGGAGUGAAAAAGAACCUGAAACCGUGUACGUACAAGCAGUGGGAGCACAGAGCAAUCUGUGUGACUGCGUACCUUUUGUAUAAUGGGUCAGCGACUUAUAUUCUGUAGCAAGGUUAACCGAAUAGGGGAGCCGAAGGGAAACCGAGUCUUAACCGGGCGUUAAGUUGCAGGGUAUAGACCCGAAACCCGGUGAUCUAGCCAUGGGCAGGUUGAAGGUUGGGUAACACUAACUGGAGGACCGAACCGACUAAUGUUGAAAAAUUAGCGGAUGACUUGUGGCUGGGGGUGAAAGGCCAAUCAAACCGGGAGAUAGCUGGUUCUCCCCGAAAGCUAUUUAGGUAGCGCCUCGUGAAUUCAUCUCCGGGGGUAGAGCACUGUUUCGGCAAGGGGGUCAUCCCGACUUACCAACCCGAUGCAAACUGCGAAUACCGGAGAAUGUUAUCACGGGAGACACACGGCGGGUGCUAACGUCCGUCGUGAAGAGGGAAACAACCCAGACCGCCAGCUAAGGUCCCAAAGUCAUGGUUAAGUGGGAAACGAUGUGGGAAGGCCCAGACAGCCAGGAUGUUGGCUUAGAAGCAGCCAUCAUUUAAAGAAAGCGUAAUAGCUCACUGGUCGAGUCGGCCUGCGCGGAAGAUGUAACGGGGCUAAACCAUGCACCGAAGCUGCGGCAGCGACACUGUGUGUUGUUGGGUAGGGGAGCGUUCUGUAAGCCUGUGAAGGUGUACUGUGAGGUAUGCUGGAGGUAUCAGAAGUGCGAAUGCUGACAUAAGUAACGAUAAAGCGGGUGAAAAGCCCGCUCGCCGGAAGACCAAGGGUUCCUGUCCAACGUUAAUCGGGGCAGGGUGAGUCGACCCCUAAGGCGAGGCCGAAAGGCGUAGUCGAUGGGAAACAGGUUAAUAUUCCUGUACUUGGUGUUACUGCGAAGGGGGGACGGAGAAGGCUAUGUUGGCCGGGCGACGGUUGUCCCGGUUUAAGCGUGUAGGCUGGUUUUCCAGGCAAAUCCGGAAAAUCAAGGCUGAGGCGUGAUGACGAGGCACUACGGUGCUGAAGCAACAAAUGCCCUGCUUCCAGGAAAAGCCUCUAAGCAUCAGGUAACAUCAAAUCGUACCCCAAACCGACACAGGUGGUCAGGUAGAGAAUACCAAGGCGCUUGAGAGAACUCGGGUGAAGGAACUAGGCAAAAUGGUGCCGUAACUUCGGGAGAAGGCACGCUGAUAUGUAGGUGAAGUCCCUCGCGGAUGGAGCUGAAAUCAGUCGAAGAUACCAGCUGGCUGCAACUGUUUAUUAAAAACACAGCACUGUGCAAACACGAAAGUGGACGUAUACGGUGUGACGCCUGCCCGGUGCCGGAAGGUUAAUUGAUGGGGUCAGCGCAAGCGAAGCUCUUGAUCGAAGCCCCGGUAAACGGCGGCCGUAACUAUAACGGUCCUAAGGUAGCGAAAUUCCUUGUCGGGUAAGUUCCGACCUGCACGAAUGGCGUAAUGAUGGCCAGGCUGUCUCCACCCGAGACUCAGUGAAAUUGAACUCGCUGUGAAGAUGCAGUGUACCCGCGGCAAGACGGAAAGACCCCGUGAACCUUUACUAUAGCUUGACACUGAACAUUGAGCCUUGAUGUGUAGGAUAGGUGGGAGGCUUUGAAGUGUGGACGCCAGUCUGCAUGGAGCCGACCUUGAAAUACCACCCUUUAAUGUUUGAUGUUCUAACGUGGACCCGUGAUCCGGGUUGCGGACAGUGUCUGGUGGGUAGUUUGACUGGGGCGGUCUCCUCCUAAAGAGUAACGGAGGAGCACGAAGGUUGGCUAAUCCUGGUCGGACAUCAGGAGGUUAGUGCAAUGGCAUAAGCCAGCUUGACUGCGAGCGUGACGGCGCGAGCAGGUGCGAAAGCAGGUCAUAGUGAUCCGGUGGUUCUGAAUGGAAGGGCCAUCGCUCAACGGAUAAAAGGUACUCCGGGGAUAACAGGCUGAUACCGCCCAAGAGUUCAUAUCGACGGCGGUGUUUGGCACCUCGAUGUCGGCUCAUCACAUCCUGGGGCUGAAGUAGGUCCCAAGGGUAUGGCUGUUCGCCAUUUAAAGUGGUACGCGAGCUGGGUUUAGAACGUCGUGAGACAGUUCGGUCCCUAUCUGCCGUGGGCGCUGGAGAACUGAGGGGGGCUGCUCCUAGUACGAGAGGACCGGAGUGGACGCAUCACUGGUGUUCGGGUUGUCAUGCCAAUGGCACUGCCCGGUAGCUAAAUGCGGAAGAGAUAAGUGCUGAAAGCAUCUAAGCACGAAACUUGCCCCGAGAUGAGUUCUCCCUGACCCUUUAAGGGUCCUGAAGGAACGUUGAAGACGACGACGUUGAUAGGCCGGGUGUGUAAGCGCAGCGAUGCGUUGAGCUAACCGGUACUAAUGAACCGUGAGGCUUAACCUU